Lathyrus oleraceus (garden pea) is the source of this 14730-nucleotide long non-coding RNA. RefSeq lists it as uncharacterized. The transcript has 8 exons. NCBI's taxonomy places the organism in Eukaryota, Viridiplantae, Streptophyta, Magnoliopsida, Fabales, Fabaceae. The record is from RefSeq and is a predicted model, not a curated record.
GUCCGCUGCAUAACAUUGCAUUGUCCGUUUGCCCAAGUGCAAGCUCAGUUGAUGAAUCAGGACAAACUGAUCGGGAGAAUCAGUCAGUCAAGCAAGCAAGUGCCAUUUUCAUUGAGACAAAGCCCUAGGGUUGAUUUUUUAAGCUCAUAUGGUCCAAAGAUCAUUUUGAAGUGGUUUGGCCAAAGAUUGGAUGCUCAGAAGUCACCAGUCAUUGUUCAGUCAACCAGAAACCCUAGAAAGUCAACUGUGGUCAACUGUGGUCAACUGUGCCCGAUUUUAUGGAUUGGAAGGUGGGAAAUGGUUUGAAAGGCCUCAUUCAUGUCCAUAUAAACUUCAUUUGGCAUUUCGAAGAUCAAGGUUGAAGGAAUUGAGCUCAGACAGAAAGUUUCCAAAAAUAGCAGGUGACUGGUAACUGAAGUUUCCAAAAAUGGAAAGUUUUUGACCUCAAAAACAGAAGUCCAAGGAAGCUUCAAAUGGAAAAUUGUUCAACAUGACAGAUGUAGAUCUUGUUCUCACCUUUCCAAAAAGUCCAAGAACUUGAAAAUCCAAUGUACGGUUUGCAAGAUAUGGCUCAGUGAAUUUCAGAAAAGACCCGUAAUCAGGAGGCCAUAACUACCACAUACUUUGUCCAAAUUGCAAGUUCUUUAUAUGCACAAACUCCAUUUGACAUGUACUUCAAGGGUGAAUCAUUGGAUUUUUCCAAAAAUGGCCAAUGCAAAAAGUCACUUUUCAACUGGACUGUUAAUUGAACCAGGGGCAAAAUCGUCCAACUUGUGAAAUAAUUGGAAUUUUUGAGUGGGGAUUUUUGCAACACCUCACAAAUGGCAUUUGAAAUUUGUUGGAAUAUUCACAACAUGCCUAGGCCUUGUGGUUUGAGAAUUGGGUUUGAAAAUGAAUUGGAAAAAAUGGACACAUAAGCCAUCACAUGGUGAAAUUGGAAAAUAUUGGGAAUUUGAAAAUAAGGCCUAUACCAACAGCUCCCAAAUGAUAUUUGUGGUUUGCUCAAAGUGUUAAUUUGCUGUUAAGAAGCUUCUAAUGAUCAAGAGCCAAAAUUCCAAAUGCAUGACAUAAGCUCAUUUGCACUAAUCACCAUUUUUUGCUUAAUCAUCAUUAAGGAAUGGUUUAAGUGCUUGGUAUAUAUAUUUAAUCCAUAACAGAAAUUAGGGACUAAUCAUUUUUUUUUCACAAUCAUUCUUCACAAUCAUCUAACAGAAAAAGCUCUCAAAGAAAAUUCUCUCAAAAACCUCACAAAUUUUUCUUCACAAUUUUUGAGAAUUCAUCAAGAAUUCCUCAUUUCUUCUGUAGUUUCUGGUGUAGAUUGUUUUUUGCAGGUGGAAUCAUACUCCUGUUCCAUCAAUUCGUGGGAAGAGCAUCAAGAAAUCGCAACCGUGGCGAAACCUGCUUUCUUCCAUAACAGUUGGUAAAAUCGGCGGAUUCAAACACUAUCGAGCUGCGUUCCGAUCAUCAUUCAUCUUCUACAACCGUAUUCAACGUCUGUUUCUGCAUCUCGAGCUCGAAAUCGCAACGGCGCCGGUACUGCACUCAAGAAGGUCAAGUUUCGCUCAUCAUCAUUUGUCAAAUUGUGAUAGGGAUAUUGUAGAACACUUAUUGUAGACUGCGUAUCAAGUUAUAGAUUGAAUUUCCAUUGCGAAUUGCAUGAAUUAUUUGCGAUUGAAGUUUAUAUGCGUUUCUUUCUUUCGUUCGAUUCGUUGUAUGUAUUAAUUGUUGGAUGAAAUCAUUUGCGUAUUCACGAUCCUGAGUUCAUGCCGGUUCCAACGGUAUAAAGAUUGUUCGGUUCGGUGGUCGUUUGCUCGUAACCGAACUCGCCGGCGAUGAGAUGUACGAGCUGUGCGAAGAAGAUGAUGAAAGCCUGGAAAAGUUCUGUGUUGAUCCUGCUGUCCGCGUUUUCAUUUCGGAUUGGUUGUUUCCCACUGGCCAGGCCAAAUCUCAGCCGUCCAUUCCACCUAAUUGAAACUACAGCGUUUUUGGCUUGGCUACGUUACUUACUGUGUUGCCAUUCAUUCAUAAAUUAAUUAAUUAAUUCUUUGUAAAUCCUAAAUAAACAUUUCAAUAAUUAUUUCAAUAAUUCAAGAAACUUCUAAAAAUCACAAAAUCAUCAAUAUUAAUCCAAAUAAUUUGAGACUUUUUUUGAUGGACUCCAUUUUUAAUCUACUUUUUUAUAGAAUCAAAAAAUAAAAUAAUGCUUGGUAGAAAAAUUAAGUGACAUAGAAAUCUUUACAAUGUAUGCCAUUUCCACAUGCUGUAGCAUUUUAAUUAUAUAAUCACCAUGCAUAAUCCAAAUUAAAUGAAAUUUUAGAUAUUAAUUCUUAACACUUCCCUGGAAUUUUUGACAUAGGUUUUAUAAUUUUUGGACUUCUGGUUUAUUAUCUAUGAAUUAUUGAGUUUGAGUAUGAAAUAAUGUGACAUAGUUGGAUAUGCUGAAUUCUUCUAAUUGAUUACCAUGCUUCCCUCUGGCCAAUGGCCCUGAUUUUUUGCAUGAAGCUUAUUUAACAUGUUAAGAUUCACUGUGAAUUUUUGUGGAUUUUUACAAUCUAUUUUCAAUUUGAUUCAUAUUUUUCCUUGCUGCCUAGCAUGUUAGAGCUUCAUUUGUGUAACCUUUUGUAUAUAUGUUGCCAUAUUCUCAUACUUAAUCCAAUGACCAUGAAAAUUGAUGACAUAAUUCCUAACAUGUAUAGCUAUCUUUUGGCUUCGGUCCUACUAAUUUCUAAUAUACCAUUGCUGUUUACCAUCUAAUUGAAGUUGGUGUAUAAUUGUAGGCUUCAUUUGAUGUAGUUUUUGCAUGCCUUGUCAUGUUUAAUUAAUUCCUAUUGAUCUACUAGUCCAAAUGACUUGAAAAUUAACAUGUGGCUUGCUGAAUGUCUUCUGAUUAGAACAUAAUUUUUGUGGAUUUUUUGGUGCCAUUUUGGCAUUUAUUUGAAUGUGAUCUUGCUGGUUGUUUGUAUGAGACUCCACAUUGCAUCUUUUGCCUUCCAUGUUGCAUAAAUUAAAAGGUGCACAUAGUUUGGAUAUGGGACCAAUUGGGAUCCCUUUGUUAUUGAAAUAGCUUGACUUUGAUCAUGAAUUGGUUGCUGUUUUAACAUUUUUCCAUCUUUUUGACCCUAGGCUAGUCCUAGUGGUCAUGUUACUUACAUUUGAAUGUGAUUGUGGCUUUUCAGGUUAAGGAGUUAAGGCUUAAGGAUAUUGUUUCACAUUUGGGAUGUUUUGCUUGAUACUUGUAAACUAAUGUGGCUGUUUUGUAGGAUGCAUAGCAUUUGAGCUUUGAGCCUUGUGCCUUGCACAUUGUUGUUUGAUUGUACAUUAUUGAUUCUUAUUGUUGUUAUCUGAUCAUGAAUGGGAUGCUGAUUCUGUUUGACUUUUGUACAGGUACACUUAGUUGCUCAGUUCUCUUAAGAACUUGCAUUGCUUUGCUUAUAAGCAAUUGGCAUUGAGGUGUCAUCCGGUGCGCAUAGCCCGUCUGUUCAAAUUUCCUGCUAGGGACAACAAAUCCAAACUGAUGGAUCCACUCAACACCGGUAAAGGCAGACAUGUUCGGGAUUGGUUAUCCAGAUCAAGAGUCGUCUAGACCAAACAGAGGACGUCGUCCACCGUACAUCUUUGUCAGUGCGGGAAUGCUGAAUUCUGAUCAGGCUUGUUCAGUGAGUGAAGAGAUCGACCGCGACCGCGAGCUAGAGCUGUGGAUAAAGUCGUGCGUACCAGGCAAUUGGAAAGCCUCCAAAAGCAUCAUUGUCGCUCAUCCGGAAGAGUAGUUUUCCUGUGUUAAUUUUGUUUGCAUGAAAGCCAUACGUUUUGCCCGAAACGUAAUGGUCCAUUGUAAGGGCCAUCUCAUGUGUCUCAUUUUGCAACAUUUUGCAUCAGUAAUAAAUGGAUGUUUUUGUGAUCAAAAGCGGUGCUCCCUGUUUUUCACUUUUUGCAGUUUAAAAAAUAAAAUAAAAAUGGCAAUGUUUUUAUUUUCUUUCCUUUUGACUCAUUUGGUUCCGACCUUAAAAGUGAUUACCCUCCUGAUCUCAUAGAUAACAAUUUGGUUACACCUCUAUAUGACUUCGACAAUCCAAGCUAUCAUGCCGAAGAAUAAGGCGAAGAAGAUUGUGAUCUGCUGGAAUUAGCUAGGUUGUUGAAACAAGAGGAGAAGGUGAUUCAACCGCACGAGAAGCGGGUCAAGAUUGUCAUCCCAAGUACCGCCGAGGUCAGAAGGGAAACGAAAGUGAGGCCGCUUCAUCGGCAAGUCAAGAACAGAAUGGUAGCCCUGUUGAAAGAGCAGGUUGAUAUCUUCACCUGAUUGCAUCAAGAUACACCAAGGUGAGAUACCAAUGUUGUGGGGCACGAGCUACCAUCGAGAGAAGACUAUCCUCUAGUGAAGAAGAAGGUCGGUGCCACGGAUCAAAGGGCUACGGUGACUUUGUUCCAUGAUAUGACUCACCGUGAAAGCGAAUGCCAUGUUGAUGACAUGAUGACAAAGUCCCAAGUAGAAGAGGGGCAUCCGGUGGACUUGAUCCCGUUGUUUGACAGGUAGAGAUAACUCAUACUGUUGAGUCUAAGUCAGUGCACUUAUGGAGUGCUGUCCGGUGAGCUGCCGAGGCUUAUUGUGGGCAAAUCAGAGGAAUCGAGGUCGAUCCUGCAAAAAAAAAAAAAAAAAAAAAAAAAAAAAAAAAACAAUACAAGAAAUGCCUGAACCGAAAACAAAAAAGAAGAAGAGAUCAAACGGUCAGGUAGGAUAACGUUUGCCAAGUGGCAUGGAAAGAAAAAUGAGUAGCAGGAACCUCUGAUUCUGAUACCUUCCGGGGAAGAAACAAUUGUUAAUCUGGUACUUGACAGCCCUUAAAGGAUCUAUGAGGUGCGUAUUGGGUCAGUAUGACUAGUCUUGUCGAAAAGAGCACGCAAUUUACCUAAGCAAAAAGUUCAUCGACUGUGAAAUAAUACACUCACUGCUCGAGGAAACUUGAUGUACUUUGGCAUAGGCUGCUCGCCGACUGAGACAGUGUAUGCUGAUUCAUACCACCUUGUGGAUGUCCAAAAUGGAUCUGAUCAAGUAUGUGCUUGAGAAGUCAGCAUGGACCGGACGGGUUGCGAGAGGGCAAAUGGCGUCAACUGAAUACGAUAUUCGGUAUACCUCCCAGAAAGCAAUCAAGAGGAGGGUAUUGUAUGGUUAUCUCGCCCAACGACCCACUGAUGAUUAUCAGUCAAGGAAGUUUGAGGUCCCUGAUGAGGACAUCUCGAGGUACUCAAAUCGAAAGAUUGAGAGUGACCGAUCCUGGAGGAGGGGCCUGACCCUGAAUCCGAACGGAUUCUGAUGUCUGAUGGGGAGAGUUUAAAGUGAAUGAGUUAGUGCUUCCCCGAUAACAUUUGAAUGCACCAACGAUGAUGGCUGAGUACGAAGUCGGUAUCCUGAGUGUCGUACCUCGAUACGUGCAUCUACUGGGGCAACGCCUUCCUCAUUCAGUAUGGGAUGGAAGUGAUAUUGCCUGCUGGAGGUUAGAUCUCAUUGUGGAGAAUCCGGAUGGAUGAGAAGUUAGAAAAGGGUGAGUGGAUAAGGACUCGGUACGACACGUUGAGCCUGACCGAGGAGAAAAGGGCUGACAGUUACUUGUCAUGGGGCAAUGGUACCCAGUAAAUGAAGCGUGUUGUUGACCGAGAAGUGGGACCUCGUGGGUGGUAUGGAAGAGAUGUGAUGUUGAAAAGGAUCCUUCCUCCUCAAGACGAUCGUGGGACAAGUGGAUAAACAGUUAUGAAUGUCCAUUCGGGGUCGAAAAGGUCUCCUCUGACAGAGCCUUGUGAUCGAUGACCACGAAUGAUGAAGAUUUUCCAUUCCCUGCAGAUGCGGACGCAGUUAAAAGAUACUUCGUGAAAAAUUGACCCGCUGGACAAAAAAAAAAAGAAAAGAGUUCAGGCAAAAAGGGGCAUCCCGGCGAACCAAAAAAAAGAGAGAAAGGUUCGGACAAAAGUUAGGGAUGAUAAAAGAAAAGAACUGUACACCCGGCAAGUCGAAAACCCCACAAGGGCGACUUGGGCAAAAAAGGGUAUCCCGGUGGGCUGAAACCUGAAAGGGCGGUCCAGGCAAAAGAGGGAUUGAAACGAACAACUGCGUCCAGCAUGAUCGUUUGUGCUUGAGAUAUGGCUUGGAUAGUCUCCGGCAGAGAUCGAUUGGAAGCGUCUUGUUCAGAAGACAGAAAGUGCGGAAAGUCUUGAGGACAUAUGGGGUGUAACCGAGUUGGAACCCGAUGAGAUCAUGGUUUCACAUUGCCAAUAGAAUAGAUUUUCUCCUUUUAUGCGCAAUCACCUCUUUCCAGGGUUUGCCUCCUGUGUGUUGCUCAAUUCUGAGCCACUUUUUUGUUUCAGUCAAUAAAAUGCGUAUUCAGUCAAAUAGUUUUGUUUUUGUUUUCAUUACCGCUUUGAUUACGAAAACAUCUGUUUAUUUUGAUAAGAAUACUUGCAUUUUGAAACAUAGAGGUCCCUUCCGAUGCAUGCUUAUAAGAUUGAAAUCUGGAAAUCUUAUUCGGAAGUUUGAGUGACCAAGACGUUGAAGCGUUGGCACGCCUGGGGCACGCUUUUAUCUAACAAUCUCUUGUGCAUGCGCUGUUAGAUAUCUUCAUUCGCUGACAGGUGGUGAUAUGAAGCCUUUUGAAAAAAAAAGGGGAAAUCCCCACAGAGUCCAAUCAGGGGCAAUGGACAGACGAACGGUGAAAAGCCCGUGACAGAGUUGUGGCGACGAUCCUGGAAAGCUAAUCAAGAAGACUCUUCAAAGUCUGAGGACUGGGAAGUUUGUAUAAUCCCAGGAGUGUGAUCCCCGUGGAGUACGGAGGAGUCGGGAAUAUAAGGUGAUGGAUCAGAAAAGUCCAGAUGAGUCUGGGAGUUCUCAAAAGCGGAAAGUCAACACUGUGGUAGGAUGAUGAACACCAGUGUUCGACGAAUCGAAGGGCGGCCCGUGUCCGAUAGGCCGUAUUUCCCCAAUGGGUUUGAGAGUGUCAUCUCCCUAGCAGAUUCGAGAUCAGUGCCUCCUCAGCAAGCCUGAAGGUUACCGUACCCCCAGCGGAGUUGUGAUUGUUUUCCAAGUCUGAAGCUGUCUUCCCAGCAGAAGUUGUGUUGUCGGGGUUCCCCCAGCAAGGUUCCCAAGCGGACCGAGUCCGGUGGAAUCAUCCCCAGUAGAGACAAACAUGGGUUGCCUCCCCUAGCAGGGUAAUCGUCAAGCAAGUCCGGGUUCGAUGGAGGUCAUCCCCAGCAAGGUUUGUCUUUCCCCAGCAGGGUGGAAAUUGACUUAGUAAUGAGAUCCUCAGCAGAGUUCUUGGAGCUCCCUGGUGUUGUCUCUGAAGGGGACGUGUUUUUAUGCAUUCAUCAUUUAGACAAGCAUAGCAUGUUGCAUCAUUAGUGCAUAGCAUUUCCAUAAUCAUGGGGCAUUGUGUAAAGUGAAAAAAAAAAAAAAACUCAUGCAUCAGCAUUGCAAACGCAUCCAUUAGCCCGAGGCCGUGGUGAAUUGACCAAGAAUGGGUUGUUGGAAAGAGUUUAGCAUCGCUUGGAUCGACUUCAGAAGUGGAUAUCCCCAGCAGGGUUGAGAGAGGCGUUUCCCCAACAAGCGACUCUUUAGUCGAGUGGGUAUCCCCAGCAUGGUUACUCCCCAAUUGGUAGCAUCUUGCCAGCUUGGAUCCAUUUCCCUAGCAGAUGUGGGUGUGUCUGAUCUCUCCAUGUAGAGUUGACCUUUUAAGCAGAAAAUGUCUGUCAUUUCCUUCUGCGCUCCCCACGAGUUGUGUCCUCGUGGAUGACGGUUGUUUCCGUUCCCUCCCCUUGGGAUGGGUUUUCCCUAGUGAGUUCUUUCCUCAUUAGGAUGUCUUGGUUCAGUUUGCCUUUUUGGAUCGAUCCUGAAUUGGCUUCCUUGUGACUGUCUCCUGUUUUUCCCUGGGGCAUAAAUGAAUAGUUGCUCACUAACCGGCACUCAUUCAUCUUAUCCUCAGCGGAAUUUUUGGCCUCUACCUACGAACCGGUAGUUGUAAGUCCUAUCUUUGUGGUUUGCUACCUACAACCUGGUAGUUGUAAAAUCCCACUUUCAUCCCCUAGCAGAGGUAACCUUUGUGGUUCAUUCUGUUUGUUGGCUUCUACCUAUAAUCCGGUAGUUGUAAGUCUUAUCUUUGUGGUUUUCUACCCACAAGCUGGUAGUUGUAAAAUCCCACGUUCUCCCCUUGGUGGAGUUAACCCUUUGUGCUCAUCCUAUUGAUGACUGGUUACUUUUCUGUGGUUUUCUGCCUACUAACCGGUAGAUGUAAUCCCCUCUUUGCAGUUAUCAGUAUCCGGUUUGCGGUAUUGAUAUUCUUUUCCCCUCUAGAUACUGGCCUUGAUCAAGCAGUAUUGUCCCCAGUGGGUCUCCCCCUUUCUUUUGGGUAUUUGCUCCGAGUCAGCAACUUUAUCCUCUUUUGAUUGGUCAUCUUUUGCAUACCUGUUCCUGGUACACGAUGCCUUUCUUUUCGGUCGUUUAUCCAUUUAACAACCAACCCGGUUAUGGAUAAUCUUCCAUGCGAGUAUAUUAUCUACGUUCUGACGGCUAUAGAUAAUAUGUCUCAUGCACUCUCUGGUCAGUCCUUUGAUUGUUUUCUCCAGCAGAGUAAGGUUCGUAUUCCUUUGUUCGGAAUCGAAUGUCCAUCCUUUAACAAGUUUGCCUUUGCUCUCUUCAGGAUGAUGUCGGUUGAUUUAUCCAUUUAACAACCAACCCGGUUAUGGAUAAUCUUCCAUGCGAGUAUGUAAUCUACGUUUUGACGGCUAUAGAUAAUAUGUCUCAUGCGCUCUUGGGUCGAAGUCGUCCUCCCCAGUCGAGUAAGAUUCGUAUUCCUUGUGGAAUCGAAUGUCCAUCCUUUAACAAGACUGCUUUUCUAGCCCUCUUCAGGAUGUUGAGUGUUUUGGAACCCAAACCAAUUCACGCUUUGGUCGGUCACCUGUUUCAUACCUACAACCCGGUAUCCUUGGUGUUCCUUCCUGUUUGCUCGCUGUCGUGACCUUGUUCCCCAGUGAGAUCCCCUGCAAGUGUGUAGCCUUGCCCUGCCAUCUUGUAGAUGCCAUUACCCUGUCAGCACCCGCGUGUGUUGUUUCUUUGGUGUCAGUAAGCACCAUAUUUCGGUGCUUUCCCAGUCAUGCGUAAUGUCUGGUCUUCUUUGGUGUCGGUAAACAUCAUCUUUCGAUGUUCGUAACGUCGUCCCUUCCCUGGUGAAUUUGAUCCUCCUCUCCGUUGGUGUCGAUAAACGUCGAGUUUUUCCCAGUUAUCCGCUGAUAAUUUGGUUGUGUUCACUCUCCCUAGAAGAGUUUCCUCCUCUCCGUUGGUGUCGAUAAACGUUGAGUUUUUCCUAUGCGUCCUAUGAUGUAUAGUUGAUAUCUUUCCCCACAGGGUCGUCCCAGAAGUUUCCUCCUCUCCGUUGGUGUCGAUAAACGUCGAGUUUUUCCUGUACGUCCUAUGGCGUAUAGUUGAUUAUUCCCCGCAGAUCAUUUGGUAAUGCCAGAUGAUUCCCCUCAAAAUUUGAUCCUCCUCUCCGUUGGUGUCGAUAAACGUCGAGUUUUUCCUAGUCGUCCGAUGACGUCUGGUUGUAUCCUUCCCCCAGUGGAUCUACCUCCGCGUUGGUUUCGAUAAACGUUGUGUUUUUCUCAUUCGUCCGCGAACGUUUGAUUGUAUACCCUCUUCCCAGUCAUUCAUUAAUGUCUGGUUGAUUCCCAGCCAGAAUUCCCAGUAGACGUCCUAUUCGGUUUCCGGUUGUGGUGCCUUUCCCUCGUGAAGUGGCUUUCUCCUUCUCCCUUUCGUCCUAUGACGCCUGGCUGAGUUUUCUCCUUCUCCCUUUCGUCCGAUGACGUCUGGUUGAGUCUCCCUUUCGUCCUAUGACGCCUGGCUGAGUUUUCUCCUUCUCCCUUUCGUCCGAUGACGUCUGGUUGAGUCUCCCUUUCGUCCUAUGACGUCUGGCUGAGUUUUCUCCUUCUCCCUUUCGUCCUAUGACGUCUGGCUGAGUUUUCUCCUUCUCCCUUUCGUCCGAUGACGUCUGGUUGAGUCUCCCUUUCGUCCUAUGACGUCUGGCUGAGUUUCCUCCUUCUCCGUUGGUGUCGAUAAACGUUGAGUCUCCCUUUCGUCCUAUGACGUCUGGCUGAGUUUCCUCCUUCUCCGUUGGUGUCGAUAAACGUUGAGUCUCCCUUUCGUCCUAUGACGUCUUGGCUGAGUUUUCUCCUUCUCCGUUGGUGUCGAUAAACGUCGAGCUUCUCCCUUUCGUCCUAUGACGUCUGGUCGAGUCUUCCCAUUCAUCCUAUGAUGUCUGGUUACCUCUCCGUUGGUCUUGGUAAACGCUGAGUUUUUCCCCGUUACGUCCGCUGACGUAUGGUUGUAUCUCUCUUUCCAUUCAUUCAUUAAUGAUUGGUUACCUCUCCGUUGGUCUUGGUAAACGUUGAGUUUUUCCCCAUUUCGUCCGCUGACGUAUGGUUGUAUCUCUCCUUCCAUUCAUUCAUUAAUGAUUGGUUACCUCUCCGUUGGUCUUGGUAAACGUUGAGUUUUUCCCAUUUCGUCCGCUGACGUAUAGUUGUAUCUUGUCCUGGUCGUCCCAGUAGAGUUGAUUUACCUCUCCGUUGGUCUUGGUAAACGUUGAGUUUUUCCUAGUUGUCCGUUGGCAUCUAGUUGAGAUGAUUUCUGAUCCCAUUCAUCGUGUGUCGAUGUCUGGAUGUGGUUGUACCUCUGAAGCAGAAGAAGAAGAAAACAAAUAAAGUCCCAGCAGUGUGCAAAUUUCUACGGUUCUUGGUAUUCAAUCCCUGUUUACCCUGAAAGUCUGACAGCCGUUGCUCUCAUCCAUUCGGGUCCCCAGUCGAUUGAAUAGGGGCAGCUGUAGCACCUCAAAUUUGCACCCUACCAUUUUGUACAUUCAUUGCAUACUAGGUCAUAACAUUAAUAAUGUCCGCUGCAUAACAUUGCAUUGUCCGUUUGCCCAAGUGCAAGCUCAGUUGAUGAAUCAGGACAAACUGAUCGGGAGAAUCAGUCAGUCAAGCAAGCAAGUGCCAUUUUCAUUGAGACAAAGCCCUAGGGUUGAUUUUUUAAGCUCAUAUGGUCCAAAGAUCAUUUUGAAGUGGUUUGGCCAAAGAUUGGAUGCUCAGAAGUCACCAGUCAUUGUUCAGUCAACCAGAAACCCUAGAAAGUCAACUGUGGUCAACUGUGGUCAACUGUGCCCGAUUUUAUGGAUUGGAAGGUGGGAAAUGGUUUGAAAGGCCUCAUUCAUGUCCAUAUAAACUUCAUUUGGCAUUUCGAAGAUCAAGGUUGAAGGAAUUGAGCUCAGACAGAAAGUUUCCAAAAAUAGCAGGUGACUGGUAACUGAAGUUUCCAAAAAUGGAAAGUUUUUGACCUCAAAAACAGAAGUCCAAGGAAGCUUCAAAUGGAAAAUUGUUCAACAUGACAGAUGUAGAUCUUGUUCUCACCUUUCCAAAAAGUCCAAGAACUUGAAAAUCCAAUGUACGGUUUGCAAGAUAUGGCUCAGUGAAUUUCAGAAAAGACCCGUAAUCAGGAGGCCAUAACUACCACAUACUUUGUCCAAAUUGCAAGUUCUUUAUAUGCACAAACUCCAUUUGACAUGUACUUCAAGGGUGCAUCAUUGGAUUUUUCCAAAAAUGGCCAAUGCAAAAAGUCACUUUUCAACUGGACUGUUAAUUGAACCAGGGGCAAAAUCGUCCAACUUGUGAAAUAAUUGGAAUUUUUGAGUGGGGAUUUUUGCAACACCUCACAAAUGGCAUUUGAAAUUUGUUGGAAUAUUCACAACAUGCCUAGGCCUUGUGGUUUGAGAAUUGGGUUUGAAAAUGAAUUGGAAAAAAUGGACACAUAAGCCAUCACAUGGUGAAAUUGGAAAAUAUUGGGAAUUUGAAAAUAAGGCCUAUACCAACAGCUCCCAAAUGAUAUUUGUGGUUUGCUCAAAGUGUUAAUUUGCUGUUAAGAAGCUUCUAAUGAUCAAGAGCCAAAAUUCCAAAUGCAUGACAUAAGCUCAUUUGCACUAAUCACCAUUUUUUGCUUAAUCAUCAUUAAGGAAUGGUUUAAGUGCUUGGUAUAUAUAUUUAAUCCAUAACAGAAAUUAGGGACUAAUCAUUUUUUUUCACAAUCAUUCUUCACAAUCAUCUAACAGAAAAAGCUCUCAAAGAAAAUUCUCUCAAAAACCUCACAAAUUUUUCUUCACAAUUUUUGAGAAUUCAUCAAGAAUUCCUCAUUUCUUCUGUAGUUUCUGGUGUAGAUUGUUUUUUGCAGGUGGAAUCAUACUCCUGUUCCAUCAAUUCGUGGGAAGAGCAUCAAGAAAUCGCAACCGUGGCGAAACCUGCUUUCUUCCAUAACAGUUGGUAAAAUCGGCGGAUUCGAACACUAUCGAGCUGCGUUCCGAUCAUCAUUCAUCUUCUACAACCGUAUUCAACGUCUGUUUCUGCAUCUCGAGCUCGAAAUCGCAACGGCGCCGGUACUGCACUCAAGAAGGUACACUUAGUUGCUCAGUUCUCUUAAGAACUUGCAUUGCUUUGCUUAUAAGCAAUUGGCAUUGAGUAACGCAUUCUUCCUGUAUAAGAAUGACAAAUGUUGGUCAAGUUGCUAAGAAGGUAGAUUUUGGUGAGACUUUUGGUCCAGUUGCUGAGAUGAUAGAUUUUGGUGAAGUUGUUGGUCCAGCAGUUGAAGUUUCUGAAGCUACUGCCACUCAGGAAAACAAUAAAUGUUUCUUUUGAUGCAUUGGGAAAAAUUGGGGGAAGUGUAUACUUUUUAUUCCUAUUCCUGCUCCUCCAACUCCAACUCCAACUCUUCCUUCAUUUGAAUGAAUUAGUAAAUAUAGGAUUUAGAUUUUUAUAAUAUAUUAAAUAAAAAUAAUCCAUAUCCAUUUUACUAUUUCUCAAAUAUAGGAUAUGAUUAUGGUGCUGUGUCAAAAAAUAAAGCAAGGGACUUGGGUUAAGAAAUUUUUUGGAAAAUUUGGUCGAAAGCUAUGUACUUGAAACUUCAUGCCUCCAUAACCCAUUAGAAUGGAACUGUAAUGUUUUAAAUUUUUUAUAAAUUGAGAUAUAUUAAAGGGAGAGAGAUAUAUUAUCUGAAUUGAGAUUUGGUGCAGUGAAAUAUGUUAUAAAAUCACACGUUAAAAUGUGGAUAACCGUGUGAUUAAGAUCAAACGAAUAUAUUUUUAAAAAAUAUAAAUAUUUAUUGGAAAAUGUGUGAUGAAGAUGGAAUGAUCGAAAAAAAGAAUUGAAUUUUGAUGGUUUGUCUCCACUUUCCUUCUUCGAGACAUUUAUUUUGUUUGGUUUCAGAAAACAUUAUAUGACAUUUAUUUUGUUUGGUUUCAGAAAACAUUAUAUGACAUUUAUUUUGUUUGGUUUCAGAAAACAUUAUAUGACAUUUAUUUUGUUUGGUUUCAAAAAACAUCGCAUAUUCUAUCAGUAACGCAUUCUUCCUGUAUAAGAAUGACAAAUGUUGGUCAAGUUGCUGAGAAGGUAGAUUUUGGUGAGACUUUUGGUCCAGUUGCUGAGAUGAUAGAUUUUGGUGAAGUUGUUGGUCCAGCAGUUGAUGUUUCUGAAGCUACUGCCACUCAGGGAAACACGAAAUGUUUCUUUUGAUGCAUUGGGAAAAAUUGGGAGAAGUAAAACAUUAUAUGACAUUUGUUUUGUUUGGUUUCAAAAAACAUCGCAUGUUCUAUCAGUAACGCAUUCUUCCCGUAUAAGAAUGACAAAUGUUGAUCAAGUUGCUGAGAAGGUAGAUUUUGGUGAGGCUUUUGGUCCAGUUGCUGAGAUGAUAGAUUUUGGUGAAGUUGUUGGUCCAACAGUUGAUGUUUCUGAAGCUACUGCCACUCAGGAAAACAAUAAAUGUUUCUUUUCCUGCAUUGGGAAAAUUUGGGGGAAGUGUAUACUUUUUAUUCCUAUUCCUGCUCGUCCAACACCAACUCCAACUCUUCCUUCCUUUGAAUGAAUUAGUAAAUAUAGGAUUUGGAUUUUUAUAAUAUAUUAAAUAAAAAUAAUCCAUAUCCAUUUUACUAUUUCUCAAAUAUAAGAUAUGAUUAUGGUGUUGUGUCAAAAAAUAAAGCAAGGGACUUAGGUUAAGAAAUUUUAUGACAAAUUUGGUCGAAAGCUAUGUACUUGAAACUACAUGCUUCCAUAACCCAUUAGAAGGGAACUGUCAUGUUUUAAAUUUUUUAUAAAUUGAGAUAUAUUAAAGGGAAAGAGAUAUAUUAUAUGAAUUGAGAUUUGGUGCAGUGAAAUAUGUUAUUAAAUCACACAUUAAAAUGUGGAUAACCGUGUGAUUAAGAUCAGACGAAUAUAUUUUUAAAAAAUAUAAAUAUUUAUUGGAAAACGUGUGAUGAAGAUGGAAUGAUCGAAAAAAAGAAUUGAAUUUUGAUGGUUUGUCUCCACAUUCCUUCUUCAAGACAUUUAUUUUGUUUGGUUUUAGAAAACAUUAUAUGACAUUUAUUUUGUUUUGUUUCAGAAAACAUUAUAUGACAUUUAUUUUGUGUGGUUUCAAAAUACAUCGCAUAUUCUAUCAGUAACGCAUUCUUCCCGUAUAAGAAUGACAAAUGUUGGUCAAGUUGCUGAGAAGGUAGAUUUUGGUGAGGCUUUUGGUCCAGUUGCUGAGAUGAUUGAUUUUGGUGAAGUUGUUGGUCCAGCAGUUGAUGUUUCUGAAGUUACUGCCACUCAGGGAAACACGAAAUGUUUCUUUUACUGCAUUGGGAAAAAUUGGGGAAAGUGUAUACUUUUCAUUCCUAUUCUUGCUCCUCC